Molecule: ribosomal RNA, 406 nt
Filed under: uncultured bacterium
Lineage: Bacteria
Description: partial 16S ribosomal RNA
Rfam family: Bacterial small subunit ribosomal RNA
Source: RNAcentral
AUUGAACGCUGGCGGCAGGCCUAACACAUGCAAGUCGAACGAGUGGCGGACGGGUGAGUAAUGUCUGGGAAACUGCCUGAUGGAGGGGGAUAACUACUGGAAACGGUAGCUAAUACCGCAUACCAUCAGAUGUGCCCAGAUGGGAUUAGCUAGUUGGUGGGGUAACGGCUCCACAAGGCGACGAUCCCUAGCUGUUCUGAGAGGAUGACCAGCCAGACUGAAACUGAGACCCGGUCCAGACUCCUACGGGAGGCAGCCGUGGUGAAUCUUGCACAAUGGGCGCAAUCCUGAUGCAGCCCUGCCGCGUGUAUGAAGAAGGCCUUCGGGUUUUAAAGUACUUUCAGCGGGGAGGCGUUACCCGCAGAAGAAGCACCGGCUAACUCCGUGCCAGCAGCCGCGGUAAUUC